Molecule: ribosomal RNA, 365 nt
Filed under: uncultured bacterium
Lineage: Bacteria
Description: bacterial SSU rRNA
Rfam family: Bacterial small subunit ribosomal RNA
Source: RNAcentral
AAGUCGAACGAGAGAUGAAGAGCUUGCUCUUCAAAUCGAGUGGCGAACGGGUGAGUAACGCGUGAGGAACCUGCCUCAAAGAGGGGGACAACAGUUGGAAACGACUGCUAAUACCGCAUAAGCCCACGGCUCGGCAUCGAGCAGGGGGAAAAGGAGCAAUCCGCUUUGAGAUGGCCUCGCGUCCGAUUAGCUAGUUGGUGAGGUAACGGCCCACCAAGGCGACGAUCGGUAGCCGGACUGAGAGGUUGAACGGCCACAUUGGGACUGAGACACGGCCCAGACUCCUACGGGAGGCAGCAGUGGGGAAUAUUGCACAAUGGGGGAAACCCUGAUGCAGCGACGCCGCGUGGAGGAAGAAGGUCUUC